GACAAGACAUCCAAAGAAUGGGAAUUACUCGCUUUAUUCCAACUGAAACUGCGAUGCUGCUAGGUUAAAGGCAAACUCACCUUAAAAAACGUACUUUGUUGUCGAACAACAAUGUAACCAAAGAUCUAUACGGUCCUCUUUUUAGUACUCUCUCCUGCAUCAAGCACGUAGUUAAUUACAAGCAAAAUCCCAAUGAGCAACCUAUUUACACAUUAUCAUUCAAGUA
Populus euphratica (Euphrates poplar) is the source of this 226-nucleotide long non-coding RNA. RefSeq lists it as uncharacterized. The record is from RefSeq and is a predicted model, not a curated record. The transcript has 3 exons. Lineage: Eukaryota; Viridiplantae; Streptophyta; Magnoliopsida; Malpighiales; Salicaceae.